AGGGCACCACCAGGAGUGGAGCCUGCGGCUUAAUUUGACUCAACACGGGAAAACUUACCCGGCCCGGACACUUAUGGGAUUGUCAUACUGAUAGCUAUUACAUGAUCAGGUGGGUGGUGGUGCAUGGCCGUUCUUAGUUGGUGGAGCGAUUUGUCUGGUUAAUUCCGAUAACGAACGAGACUCUAGCCUACUAAAUAGACUGCUCAACUUUAUAGCUGCAUCACCUUGCAGUGGCUUCGGUUGCUGUAAGGCUGUGGUGACGUUGGCAGUGCUUCUUAGAGGGACAGGCGGCGGUUCAGCCGCACGAAACAGAGCAAUAACAGGUCUGUGAUGCCCUUAGAUGUCCAGGGCCGCACGCGCGCUACACUGAAGUGAUCAGCGUGCAAUUAACGUUUCCUACUCCGUCAGGAGUGGGUAACCCGUUGAACCUUCUUCGUGAUUGGGAUAGGGGAUUGUAAUUAUUCCCCUUGAACGAGGAAUUCCCAGUAAGCGCAAGGUCAUAAGCUUGCGUUGAUUACG
Molecule: ribosomal RNA, 519 nt
Filed under: uncultured eukaryote
Lineage: Eukaryota
Description: bacterial SSU rRNA
Rfam family: Eukaryotic small subunit ribosomal RNA
Source: RNAcentral